Molecule: ribosomal RNA, 497 nt
Filed under: uncultured bacterium
Lineage: Bacteria
Description: partial 16S ribosomal RNA
Rfam family: Bacterial small subunit ribosomal RNA
Source: RNAcentral
GAUGAACGCUGGCGGCGUGCCUAAUACAUGCAAGUCGAGCGGACAGACGAGGAUCUUGCGCCGCUGACGUUAGCGGCGGGCGGGUGAGUAACACGAGUAUAACCUACCUAUAAGACUGGGAUAACUUCGGGACAGCGGAUAUAAUACCGGAUAAUAUAUUGAACCUCAUGGUUCAUUAGUGAAAGACGGUGUUGGUGGCACUUCUAGCGGGUUCCGCGCCGCUUGGGCUAGUUGGUAAGGUAACGGCUUACCAAGGCAACUAUGCGUAGCCGACCUGAGAGGGUGAUAGGCCACACUGGAACUGAGACACGGUCCAGACUCCUACGGGAGGCAGCAGUAGGGAAUCUUAGGCAAUGGGCGAAAGCCUGACGCAGCGACGCCGCGUGUGUGAUGAAGGUCUUCGGAUCGUAAAACCCUGUUAUUAGGGAAGAACAAAUGUGUAAUGAAAUAUGGAGGUCUUGACGGUACCUAAUCAGAAAGCAACGGCUAACUACGUG